UACGGAGGGGGUUAGCGUUGUUCGGAAUUACUGGGCGUAAAGCGCGCGUAGGCGGACCAGGAAGUUGGGGGUGAAAUCCCGGGGCUCAACCCCGGAACGGCCUCCAAAACUCCUGGUCUUGAGUUCGAGAGAGGUGAGUGGAAUUCCGAGUGUAGAGGUGAAAUUCGUAGAUAUUCGGAGGAACACCAGUGGCGAAGGCGGCUCACUAGCUCGAUACUGACGCUGAGGUGCGAAAGUGUGGGGAGCAAACAGG
RNAcentral lists this ribosomal RNA (253 nucleotides) under uncultured bacterium. Its description in RNAcentral is "partial 16S ribosomal RNA". It matches the Rfam family "Bacterial small subunit ribosomal RNA", at positions 524 to 776 of the family's 1533-position model. The record is from RNAcentral.